UCUCCGUUGGUGAACCAGCGGAGGGAUCAUCACCGAGUUUACAACUCCCAAACCCCUAAGUGAACGUUACCAAACUGUUGCCUCGGCGGGAAAUUCAUGCCCCGGGCGCGUCGCAGCCCCGGACCAAGGCGCCCGCCGGAGGACCAACCAAAACUCUUUUGUAUGUCCCUCGCGGACUUUUAUAAUUCUGAACCAUCUCGGCGCCCCUAGCGGGCGUUUCGAAAAUGAAUCAAAACUUUCAACAACGGAUCUCUUGGUUCUG
RNAcentral lists this unclassified non-coding RNA (262 nucleotides) under plant metagenome. Its description in RNAcentral is "partial contains small subunit ribosomal RNA, internal transcribed spacer 1, and 5.8S ribosomal RNA". The record is from RNAcentral.